UGAAAUCAAGCUCCUAUUCAUUCUACAAAUGAUGCAAAUGGCUUGGAGUUUAGAAUUGGCAGAUCAUCUUGAUUUCCACAUUUAGAUCUCCAAGAGAUGUCACCACUGAGGCCAAAGAGCCUACUUAUCUCGCCCCAGAUUUCACAGCUGGUGGGUGGCAAAGCAGCACCAGGUUUCACACCAAGUUUGCCUGAUUCCAAGUGUGUGAAGCACUCCCUCCUGACAACUUUGAAAGGCCUUCUAAGUCAAUUACCAGAAAGGGAAUUAUAAGAAGUUGUUUUCUG
RNAcentral lists this long non-coding RNA (284 nucleotides) under Homo sapiens (human). RNAcentral describes it as "HSALNT0319712". Lineage: Eukaryota; Metazoa; Chordata; Mammalia; Primates; Hominidae. The record is from RNAcentral.